UAUAGGCAAAGGCAAUUCGAAUGGU
RNAcentral lists this non-coding RNA (25 nucleotides) under Rattus norvegicus (Norway rat). Lineage: Eukaryota; Metazoa; Chordata; Mammalia; Rodentia; Muridae. The record is from RNAcentral.